UUGAACGCUGGCGGAAUGCUUUACACAUGCAAGUCGAACGGCAGCACGGGGGCAACCCUGGUGGCGAGUGGCGAACGGGUGAGUAAUACAUCGGAACGUGCCCAGUCGUGGGGGAUAACUACGCGAAAGCGUAGCUAAUACCGCAUACGAUCUACGGAUGAAAGCGGGGGACCGUAAGGCCUCGCGCGAUUGGAGCGGCCGAUGGCAGAUUAGGUAGUUGGUGGGGUAAAGGCUCACCAAGCCUUCGAUCUGUAGCUGGUCUGAGAGGACGACCAGCCACACUGGGACUGAGACACGGCCCAGACUCCUACGGGAGGCAGCAGUGGGGAAUUUUGGACAAUGGGCGCAAGCCUGAUCCAGCCAUUCCGCGUGCAGGAUGAAGGCCCUCGGGUUGUAAACUGCUUUUGUACGGAACGAAAAGCCUUCUUCUAAUACAAGAGGGUCAUGACGGUACCGUAAGAAUAAGCACCGGCUAACUACGU
RNAcentral lists this ribosomal RNA (482 nucleotides) under uncultured bacterium. RNAcentral's name for it is "bacterial SSU rRNA". It matches the Rfam family "Bacterial small subunit ribosomal RNA", at positions 30 to 506 of the family's 1533-position model. The record is from RNAcentral.